CCUGGCGGCCGUAGCGCGGUGGUCCCACCUGACCCCAUGCCGAACUCAGAAGUGAAACGCCGUAGCGCCGAUGGUAGUGUGGGGGCUCCCCAUGCGAGAGUAGGGAACUGCCAGAC
RNAcentral lists this ribosomal RNA (116 nucleotides) under Escherichia coli. The record is from RNAcentral. Lineage: Bacteria; Pseudomonadati; Pseudomonadota; Gammaproteobacteria; Enterobacterales; Enterobacteriaceae.